This 453-nucleotide ribosomal RNA is filed under the name uncultured organism. Its description in RNAcentral is "partial 16S ribosomal RNA". It matches the Rfam family "Bacterial small subunit ribosomal RNA", at positions 331 to 800 of the family's 1533-position model. The record is from RNAcentral.
GUACACUCCUACGGGAGGCAGCAGUGGGGAAUAUUGGACAAUGGGCGCAAGCCUGAUCCAGCCAUGCCGCGUGAGUGAUGAAGGCCCUAGGGUUGUAAAGCUCUUUCACCGGUGAAGAUAAUGACGGUAACCGGAGAAGAAGCCCCGGCUAACUUCGUGCCAGCAGCAGCGGUAAUACGAAGGGGGCUAGCGUUGUUCGGAUUUACUGGGCGUAAAGCGCACGUAGGCGGACUAUUAAGUCAGGGGUGAAAUCCCGGGGCUCAACCCCGAAACUGCCUUUGAUACUGGUAGUCUUGAGUUCGGGAGAGGUGAGUGGAAUUCCGAGUGUAGAGGUGAAAUUCGUAGAUAUUCGGAGGAACACCAGUGGCGAAGGCGGCUCACUGGCUCGAUACUGACGCUGAGGUGCGAAAGCGUGGGGAGCAAACAGGAUUAGAAACCCGGGUAGUCCCAUGA